This is a long non-coding RNA of Struthio camelus australis, 1018 nucleotides long. RefSeq lists it as uncharacterized. Lineage: Eukaryota; Metazoa; Chordata; Aves; Struthioniformes; Struthionidae. The record is from RefSeq and is a predicted model, not a curated record.
CUUCUUUCCUUUUCUCAUUUUUUUCAUUUUGCUACCCUUACAUCUCUGUAUCAUGCUCUAGUAAGUGGAUUGAGGUAGACAUUACGCUGAAGAAAUCCCAACAGGAACAUCAGGUAGCAGCACAGCUUUCAUUUGUUGCUUUUUUCAGCAGACACCACCACCUCUGCUUUGCUAAUUUUGACAGAGAAUAUUUCAGAAAAAAUUACUGAAAGGUAUCUGAUCUCAUAUUGGUCAGCGUCUCCUUGGAUGAUACCAUGCCAAGAUACUGUGUUUGUCUUAUACAAAUUAAGGGAACGACUUUGUGGAGAAAGAAAUGGAAGAACAGUAAACCUCUCAGUGUGAGCAAAAAUGGGUCCCCAGCCACAUACAAUAAGCAGUGCACACUGUAUUUCAUUCUUCUUUUAGAGGAACUGAAACACAAGAUAUACAAUGGGUACUAUCUGGAGUCAAACUUGUUCGAAAAGACGGCCUAGGCACACCUGCUCUGAAGAUCUCACUAGUGUGGCUGAAGGAGCUGCCUUCCCUCCUACUCAUCAGUGCUCCUCUGAUGGACAUUACCAUCCAUGCACAUCUGAGAUACCUUAACUGGUGACACAGCUGCAGCGGGGCCUCACUUCCGUCAUGUUUUGGGCAGCAAGCAUGCACACCUAAUCAGCACAGGCAACGUGGGCCCACUAGACAGAGCUAAGAAAAAUGUGGGAGCGCCUUUACACAGUCCAGAUGUUGGGCUGGAAGAAUAAGCUCCUGAAGCUCUUAUGUUAAGCCCAGGCGAGAUUAGAGAGACUGCAAAGGAAAAUCUGAGAUAAAUUACCAAAUGAGCCAUCCAUGGCGAAGAGAGUUCUGGGAUAGUGCAGGAAGAACAAAGUCAAUGAAGGUAAAACAGAAGAUAGACAUAUAUUAAACUUUUAAAAUCCUAACCACAUUAUCCCCCAGAAAGAAUCUGUCACUUUUUUUUAGAGCUUUCAUCUAGACACUUUUCUAGUUUUAAUUUGUUGUAUACUAUAGAUGUGUUGUCUGA